This 395-nucleotide unclassified non-coding RNA is filed under the name soil metagenome. Its description in RNAcentral is "partial contains 5.8S ribosomal RNA, internal transcribed spacer 2, and large subunit ribosomal RNA". The stretch from base 1 to 122 matches the Rfam family "5.8S ribosomal RNA", at positions 35 to 154 of the family's 154-position model. The record is from RNAcentral.
GAUGAAGAACGCAGCGAAAUGCGAUACUUGGUGUGAAUUGCAGAAUCCCGUGAACCAUCGAGUCUUUGAACGCAAGUUGCGCCCGAAGCCAUCAGGUUGAGGGCACGUCUGCCUGGGCGUCACAUAUCGUUGCCCAAUGCCUAUUGCAGUGCAAUAGGAAUUUCUAGGGCGAAUGAUGGCUUCCCGUGAGCGUUGUUGCCUCGCGGUUGGUUGAAAAUCGAGUCAUUGGUAGGGUGUGCCAUGGUAGAUGGUGGUCGAGUUAGAACGAUACCGAUCAUGUGCAUGCUCCCCAAAAUAUGGCCUCUAUGACCCACACGCGUCUUUUGACGCUCAUGACGAGACCUCAGGUCAGGCGGGGCUACCCGCUGAAUUUAAGCAUAUCAAUAAGCGGAGGA